GCAAAACGCGAAGAACCUUACCAAGGCUUGACAUCCCCUUGACCGGCACAGAGAUGUGCCCUCUCCUUCGGGAGCAAGGGUGACAGGUGGUGCAUGGUUGUCGUCAGCUCGUGUCGUGAGAUGUUGGGUUAAGUCCCGCAACGAGCGCAACCCUUAUCCUUAGUUGCCAGCAUUUAAGGUGGGCACUCUAAGGAGACUGCCGAUGAUAAAUCGGAGGAAAGUGGGGAUGACGUCAAAUCAUCAUGCCCCUUAUGUCUUGGGCUACACACGUGCUACAAUGGUCGGUACAAAGGGGAGCGAAGGAGUGAUCUGGAGCAAAUCCCAAUAAACCGAUCUCAGUUCGGAUUGUAGGCUGCAACUCGCCUACAUGAAGUCGGAGUUGCUAGUAAUCGCGAAUCAGAACGUCGCGGUGAAUGCGUUCCCGGGUCUGUACACACCG
Molecule: ribosomal RNA, 439 nt
Filed under: uncultured bacterium
Lineage: Bacteria
Description: bacterial SSU rRNA
Rfam family: Bacterial small subunit ribosomal RNA
Source: RNAcentral